UGGGGAAUUUUGGACAAUGGGCGAAAGCCUGAUCCAGCAAUGCCGCGUGUGUGAAGAAGGCCUUCGGGUUGUAAAGCACUUUUGUCCGGAAAGAAAUCCUUGGCUCUAAUACAGUCGGGGGAUGACGGUACCGGAAGAAUAAGCACCGGCUAACUACGUGCCAGCAGCCGCGGUAAUACGUAGGGUGCAAGCGUUAAUCGGAAUUACUGGGCGUAAAGCGUGCGCAGGCGGUUUGCUAAGACCGAUGUGAAAUCCCCGGGCUCAACCUGGGAACUGCAUUGGUGACUGGCAGGCUAGAGUAUGGCAGAGGGGGGUAGAAUUCCACGUGUAGCAGUGAAAUGCGUAGAGAUGUGGAGGAAUACCGAUGGCGAAGGCAGCCCCCUGGGCCAAUACUGACGCUCAUGCACGAAAGCGUGGGGAGCAAACAGGAUUAGAUACCCUGGUAGUCCACGCCCUAAACGAUGUCAANUCAGUUGUUGGGGAUUCAUUUCCUUAGUAACGUAGCUAACGCGUGAAGUUGACCGCCUGGGGAGUACGGUCGCAAGAUUAAAACUCAAA
Molecule: ribosomal RNA, 558 nt
Filed under: uncultured bacterium
Lineage: Bacteria
Description: partial 16S ribosomal RNA
Rfam family: Bacterial small subunit ribosomal RNA
Source: RNAcentral